RNAcentral lists this signal recognition particle RNA (266 nucleotides) under Bacillota bacterium. Its description in RNAcentral is "signal recognition particle sRNA large type". It matches the Rfam family "Bacterial large signal recognition particle RNA". Rfam says of the family: The signal recognition particle (SRP) is a universally conserved ribonucleoprotein involved in the co-translational targeting of proteins to membranes. Archaeal SRP consists of a 7S RNA and homologues of the eukaryotic SRP19 and SRP54 proteins. Lineage: Bacteria; Bacillati; Bacillota. The record is from RNAcentral.
CUGUGCUAAGCGGGGAGGUAGCGGUGCCCUGUACUCGCAAUCCGCUAUAGCGAGGCUGAAGUCCCGUUUGAGGCCGGCUCUUGUGAGGUCUGCCUCAGGUAAGUGGCGUUGAAGGUUGGGUCCUGCGCGGCAGGGCUUUAUGAACCCCGUCAGGUCCGGAAGGAAGCAGCGGUAAGUAAAAUCCCCUGGGUGCCGCAGGAGUGCCUGGCCGGAGCAAACUGCCUGAGUAACGCUCGGAAGGACUAUGGUCGAGAACGGGUGCACAG